AGGGGCUGGAGAGAUUGCUCCAUGGUAAAGAAAAUCUUGCUGCUCAUUUAGAGAACCAAAGUUCAGGCCCAGUAUCCCAGCUAAGGUGGCUGAUGACUGCUUGUAAUUAAGAAGAGAAUUCCUGGAAGACAGAGGCUUGCAACUGUGCCCCGGGCUGCUGUGCCUCCCACGGUACUCAAAGAGCUGAGUCAGAAGCACAUUGAUAAUUGUAUUGCUUAGUGCCUUUCCAAAAAUAUCUAGAAUGAUCUACCCACUCAGUCAUCAAGAGUGCCCUUAUGGAGGAUGUAGGCAUCCUGUCAAGUGAGGCUGUGGUGCUGAGGAGUAGGGCUGAUGUGCUCCAUCACCACUCCAGCUCUUGUGAAUGGACAUCUUCUGCUCUCUCAUGUACUUGGAGGCAAGUUUCACUGCUGUCAACAUCUCCACACCCCCAGCCAACAGAAUUUUGCUCUUGUCUCUUGACUUUGUGUAAAAACAACAUUGAUUAUGUGCAUGCAUUAACCUUUAUUGAAGGGAGUUCUGAGAUAGAAUAGAAACCUACACAGAUGAUCAGCCAGCUUUGUGCAUCUUCCACAUGCUUUUGAAAAUAGAUUCUCAAUGUAGCAAAUAGGCUCAGGUUGGAUACAAAUUCUAUAUUUGGCUUUGAAAAGUAUGACACU
Rattus norvegicus (Norway rat) is the source of this 656-nucleotide non-coding RNA. The record is from RefSeq and is a predicted model, not a curated record. Lineage: Eukaryota; Metazoa; Chordata; Mammalia; Rodentia; Muridae.